This 484-nucleotide ribosomal RNA is filed under the name uncultured bacterium. Its description in RNAcentral is "partial 16S ribosomal RNA". It matches the Rfam family "Bacterial small subunit ribosomal RNA", at positions 30 to 507 of the family's 1533-position model. The record is from RNAcentral.
AUUGAACGCUGGCGGCAGGCCUAACACAUGCAAGUCGAGCGGAUGAAGGGAGCUUGCUCCUGGAUUCAGCGGCGGACGGGUGAGUAAUGCCUAGGAAUCUGCCUGGUAGUGGGGGAUAACGUCCGGAAACGGGCGCUAAUACCGCAUACGUCCUGAGGGAGAAAGUGGGGGAUCUUCGGACCUCACGCUAUCAGAUGAGCCUAGGUCGGAUUAGCUAGUUGGUGGGGUAAAGGCCUACCAAGGCGACGAUCCGUAACUGGUCUGAGAGGAUGAUCAGUCACAUGGGAACUGAGACACGGUCCAGACGCCUACGGGAGGCAGCAGUGGGGAAUAUUGGACAAUGGGCGAAAGCCUUGUCCAGCCAGGCCGCGUGUGUGAAGAAGGUCUUCGGAUUGUAAAGCACGUUAAGUUGGGAGGAAGGGCAGUAAGUUAAUACCUUGCUGUUUUGACGUUACCAACAGAAUAAGCACCGGCUAACUUCGUG